CUUCUGUCCUAAGUCAGGAAUCUGAUGUACAGUAGUUGUCGUUUGUUUAGGUAAUUUAUACGUGUUUCUCGUUUUUCGUUAUUUACAUAGAUUAGACCGUUGGGUUUCCCGUUUGAAUGGUUUUACACUUGUCUAGUAAUUGUGGGGCCCCUUAUAGCUUAUUGUUCGGUGAGAGCCAAGGCUCCGUGUUGAAGGUCGUACAUUGACCUAUAAUAGUUUACUUUUAUAAAUUGUUAUUUGGAUGGAGAGUUGUCUCAUUUGCACUCAUACCACAUCUUCUUAUAUCUACUUUCAAUCUUGUUUCAUAGUAAAUAAUGUAUGUUCCGGAUAUAUAACCAUAAAG
Molecule: long non-coding RNA, 343 nt
Filed under: Mytilus galloprovincialis (Mediterranean mussel)
Lineage: Eukaryota; Metazoa; Mollusca; Bivalvia; Mytilida; Mytilidae
Source: RNAcentral